This is a non-coding RNA of Hemiscyllium ocellatum (epaulette shark), 82 nucleotides long. Lineage: Eukaryota; Metazoa; Chordata; Chondrichthyes; Orectolobiformes; Hemiscylliidae. The record is from the annotation of a RefSeq genome assembly.
GGUAGUGUGGCUGAGCGGUCUAAGGUGCUGGAUUUAGGCUCCAGUCUCGGAAGAGGCGUGGGUUCGAAUCCCACUGCUGCCA